Molecule: ribosomal RNA, 590 nt
Filed under: Stereum gausapatum
Lineage: Eukaryota; Fungi; Basidiomycota; Agaricomycetes; Russulales; Stereaceae
Description: eukaryotic LSU rRNA
Rfam family: 5.8S ribosomal RNA (bases 191-344)
Source: RNAcentral
UAAUGAAAUUUAUGACUGGAGUUGUAGCUGGCCUUUAAAAACGGCAUGUGCACGCUCCUUUCACUAAUCCACACACACCUGUGCACCUUCGCGGGGGUCUCUUCGUUAACUCGAAGAGGCUCGCGUCCCUUUACACACCCUUUGUAUGUCUUAAGAAUGUCUACUCGAUGUAAUAAAACGCAUCUAAUACAACUUUCAACAACGGAUCUCUUGGCUCUCGCAUCGAUGAAGAACGCAGCGAAAUGCGAUAAGUAAUGUGAAUUGCAGAAUUCAGUGAAUCAUCGAAUCUUUGAACGCACCUUGCGCCCUUUGGUAUUCCGAAGGGCACACCUGUUUGAGUGUCGUGAAAUUCUCAACCCUCUUCACUUUUGUGAACGUAGUGGAUUGGACUUGGAGGCUUUGCCGGGCUUCACCGCUCGGCUCCUCUCAAAUGCAUUAGUGCGUCUUGUUGCGACGUGCGCCUCGGUGUGAUAAUUAUCUACGCUGUGGUGUGCUUGCUUCUGUGGAGACGCGCUUUCUAACCGUCCGAAAGGACAGCUUUCAUCGAACUUUGACCUCAAAUCAGGUGGGACUACCCGCUGAACUUAAGC